This is a non-coding RNA of Saccharata proteae CBS 121410, 81 nucleotides long. The record is from the annotation of a GenBank genome assembly. Lineage: Eukaryota; Fungi; Ascomycota; Dothideomycetes; Botryosphaeriales; Saccharataceae.
GGUGUUGUAGUGUAAUGGUAUCACAACACGUUGUGGAUGCACAACGCCGUGUUAAUCUGAGUUCGAUUCUCAGCAACGCCA